This 645-nucleotide ribosomal RNA is filed under the name uncultured bacterium. Its description in RNAcentral is "bacterial SSU rRNA". It matches the Rfam family "Bacterial small subunit ribosomal RNA", at positions 79 to 719 of the family's 1533-position model. The record is from RNAcentral.
CUUGCUUCUCUUGAGAGCGGCGGACGGGUGAGUAAAGCCUAGGAAUCUGCCUGAUAGUGGGGGAUAACGUUCGGAAACGGACGCUAAUACCGCAUACGUCCUACGGGAGAAAGCAGGGGACCUUCGGGCCUUGCGCUAUCAGAUGAGCCUAGGUCGGAUUAGCUAGUUGGUGAGGUAAUGGCUCACCAAGGCGACGAUCCGUAACUGGUCUGAGAGGAUGAUCAGUCACACUGGAACUGAGACACGGUCCAGACUCCUACGGGAGGCAGCAGUGGGGAAUAUUGGACAAUGGGCGAAAGCCUGAUCCAGCCAUGCCGCGUGUGUGAAGAAGGUCUUCGGAUUGUAAAGCACUUUAAGUUGGGAGGAAGGGCAUUAACCUAAUACGUUAGUGUUUUGACGUUACCGACAGAAUAAGCACCGGCUAACUCUGUGCCAGCAGCCGCGGUAAUACAGAGGGUGCAAGCGUUAAUCGGAAUUACUGGGCGUAAAGCGCGCGUAGGUGGUUUGUUAAGUUGGAUGUGAAAUCCCCGGGCUCAACCUGGGAACUGCAUUCAAAACUGACUGACUAGAGUAUGGUAGAGGGUGGUGGAAUUUCCUGUGUAGCGGGUGAAAUGCGUAGAUAUAGGAAGGAACACCAGUGGCGAA